Molecule: non-coding RNA, 721 nt
Organism: Penaeus vannamei (Pacific white shrimp)
Lineage: Eukaryota; Metazoa; Arthropoda; Malacostraca; Decapoda; Penaeidae
Source: RefSeq, a predicted model, not a curated record
CGUCUCUUUCAGGAACGGCUCGUGACAGGACAAUGGCCGGAGUCCCUGGCGAGCGCUGCUGCUUGUGAGGACCGUCUACCGUGACCACAGGUGCAGCCCGGACGACGAGGCGCGCGAGCCCAGGUACCGUGUGGUGGUGGCAGCAGCUACUUAGAAGCCUGCAGUUGACGAAACCCACACCCUUAGCACCUCUCGCGGUAAGUGUUUUGAAUCUGUAAAUCGUCGAAAAAAUCUCUGCUUCGAUUUAAUUUCAUCAUUUGUUUUUAGACUGUUUUCUUUAAUGUGUCGUAGGGUUCAGAUUAAUUGUAGUUUUUUCGCGGUUGCUCAGCGGGAGAGCUUUGCAAUUUGGUGAAAUACAGGUGCAAAGACACGCGCUCAUCCUUGCGUAUUUGCAAAGAAGUCUUGAUCAGGUCAGAUGUGUGGGUGUGAAGGGAUGCAUUUCUAGCUGUUAGUUUUGAAGGAGUCAGCGAAAGGCAUAUAUUUUUGGUUUCGGUAUGUGUGUAUGUGUGUGUGUGUGUGUGUGUGUGUGUGUGUGUGUGUGUGUGUGUGUGUGUGUGUGUGUGUGUGUGUGUGUGUGUGUGUGUGUGUGUCUGUGUGUGUGUGUGUGCGUGUGUGCGCGUUCAGACAGACAUGCGCCCAGGCAGACAGAGAGAGAGUUGUAUGCUUAUAUGCGUCAGCACCGCAGUACAGGUUAUCGCCACCUCGACGACCGGUAAGCAAG